RNAcentral lists this ribosomal RNA (2895 nucleotides) under Clostridioides difficile. RNAcentral describes it as "bacterial LSU rRNA". It matches the Rfam family "Bacterial large subunit ribosomal RNA". Lineage: Bacteria; Bacillati; Bacillota; Clostridia; Peptostreptococcales; Peptostreptococcaceae. The record is from RNAcentral.
UCAAGUUAUUAAGGGUGCAGGGCGGAUGCCUUGGCACUAGGAGCCGAUGAAGGACGUGAUAAGCUGCGAUAAGCUUCGGGGAGUUGCACGUAAACUUUGAUCCGAAGAUUUCCGAAUGAGGAAACUCACUUAGAGUAAUGUCUAAGUAUCAUUAAGUGAAUACAUAGCUUAAUGAGGGGAACUCAGGGAACUGAAACAUCUAAGUACCUGAAGGAAGAGAAAGAAAUUCGAUUCCGUAAGUAGCGGCGAGCGAACGCGGAUUAGCCCAAACCAAUAAAGUUUUCUUUAUUGGGGUUGCGGACAUAUCAUAACGAAGAGGUAUCGUAAUUGAAGAGGUUUGGAAAGACCCACCACAGAAGGUAAUAGUCCUGUAUGUUAAACGAGAAGACUUCAGAUAUGAUCCAGAGUACCACGGGACACGUGAAACCCUGUGGGAAGCAGGAGGGACCACCCUCCAAGGCUAAAUACUACCUAGUGACCGAUAGCGUAUAGUACCGUGAGGGAAAGGUGAAAAGAACCCCGGGAGGGGAGUGAAAUAGAACCUGAAACCCUGCACUUACAAGCUGUGGAAGCACAUUUCUUGUGUGACCGCGUACUUUUUGUAGAACGGGCCAACGAGUUACGUUAAGUAGCAAGGUUAAGCACUUAAGGUGCGGAGCCGUAGCGAAAGCGAGUUUUAACUGAGCGUUCAGUUACUUGACGUAGACCCGAAACCGGGCGACCUACCCAUGAGCAGGAUGAAGCGAAAGUAAAAUUUCGUGGAGGUCCGAACCCACGAGCGUUGAAAAGCUCGGGGAUGACUUGUGGGUAGCGGUGAAAUUCCAAUCGAGCCCGGAGAUAGCUGGUUCUCCCCGAAAUAGCUUUAGGGCUAGCCUCAAGGUGAGAGAUACGGAGGUAGAGCACUGAAUGUCCUAGGGGGUAUUGCACCUACCGAAGACUAUCAAACUCCGAAUGCCGUCAUCUUAUACUUGGGAGUCAGACUGUGGGUGAUAAGAUUCAUAGUCGAAAGGGCAACAGCCCAGAUCGUCAGCUAAGGUCCCUAAAUGUAAGUUAAGUGGUAAAGGAUGUGGGAUUGCACAGACAACCAGGAUGUUGGCUUAGAAGCAGCCACUCAUUCAAAGAGUGCGUAAUAGCUCACUGGUCGAGUGAUCCUGCGCCGAAGAUUUCCGGGGCUAAAACUUACUACCGAAGCUACGGCAUCAUUAUGAUGGGUAGGGGAGCUUCCCAUACGGGUUGAAGCAUGACCGUAAGGACAUGUGGACAGUAUGGGAGUGAGAAUGUUGGCAUGAGUAGCGAGAUGUGGGUGAGAAUCCCACAGGCCGUAAACCCAAGGUUUCCAGGGGAAGGUUCGUCCGCCCUGGGUUAGUCGGGACCUAAGCUGAGGCCGAAAGGCGUAGGUGAUGGACAACAGGUUGAUAUUCCUGUACUACCGAUAACCGUUUGAGAGAAGGGAUGACACAGUAGGAUAAGCUAAGCACACUGUUGGUUAUGUGUGCCCAAGCAUUGAGGCAGUCAAAGUAGGCAAAUCCGCUUUGAUAAUGCUGGGAUGUGAUGGGGAGCGAAAUUUAGUAGCGAAGUAGCUGAUUUCACACUGUCAAGAAAAGUCUCUAUCGAGGUUAAAGGUACCCGUACCGCAAACCGACACAGGUGGGUGAGGAGAGUAUCCUAAGGCCAGCGAGAGAACUGUUGUUAAGGAACUCGGCAAAAUGACCCCGUAACUUAGGGAUAAGGGGUGCCACCAUCCGGUGGCCGCAGAGAAUAGGCCCAAGCGACUGUUUACCAAAAACAUAGGUUUCUGCUAAGUCGCAAGACGAUGUAUAGGAGCUGACGCCUGCCCGGUGCUGGAAGGUUAAGGGGAUCUGUUAGAGCAAUCGAAGCAGUGAACUUAAGCCCCAGUAAACGGCGGCCGUAACUAUAACGGUCCUAAGGUAGCGAAAUUCCUUGUCGGGUAAGUUCCGACCCGCACGAAAGGCGUAACGAUUUGGGCACUGUCUCAACAACAGACUCGGUGAAAUUGUAAUUCCGGUGAAGAUGCCGGAUACCUGCGACAGGACGGAAAGACCCCAUGGAGCUUUACUGUAGCUUGACAUUGGGUCUUGGUACUACAUGUACAGGAUAGGUGGGAGGCUUUGAAACCAGGACGCCAGUUUUGGCGGAGCCAUCCUUGGGAUACCACCCUUGUAGUACUGGGACUCUAACCAUAGGCCAUGAAUCUGGUCUUGGGACACUGUCAGGUGGGCAGUUUGACUGGGGCGGUCGCCUCCCAAAAGGUAACGGAGGCGCUCAAAGGUUCUCUCAGUACGGUCGGAAAUCGUACGUAGAGUGUAAAGGCAAAAGAGAGCUUGAUUGCAAGACAUACAGGUCGAGCAAGGAUGAAAAUCGGACUUAGUGAUCCGGUGGUUCUGCGUGGAAGGGCCAUCGCUCAACGGAUAAAAGCUACCCUGGGGAUAACAGGCUUAUCUCCCCCAAGAGUCCACAUCGACGGGGAGGUUUGGCACCUCGAUGUCGGCUCAUCACAUCCUGGGGCUGUAGUAGGUCCCAAGGGUUGGGCUGUUCGCCCAUUAAAGUGGUACGCGAGCUGGGUUCAGAACGUCGUGAGACAGUUCGGUCCCUAUCCGUCGCAGGCGUAGGAAAUUUGAGAAGACCUGUCCUUAGUACGAGAGGACCGGGAUGGACGUACCUCUGGUGUACCAGUUGUUCUGCCAAGGGCAUGGCUGGGUAGCUAUGUACGGAAUGGAUAAGCGCUGAAAGCAUCUAAGCGCGAAGCCAACUUCAAGAUAAGAUUUCCCACCGCAAGGGUAAGACCCCAGAAAGACUAUCUGGUUGAUAGGUCGAAGGUGUAAGUGCAGCAAUGUAUUUAGCUUAUCGAUACUAAUAGGUCGAGGACUUGACCAA